Molecule: long non-coding RNA, 450 nt
Filed under: Brassica rapa (field mustard)
Lineage: Eukaryota; Viridiplantae; Streptophyta; Magnoliopsida; Brassicales; Brassicaceae
Description: long non-coding RNA (BRAP_LNC001175)
Source: RNAcentral
UUAUUUUAUUUUAUUUUAUUUGUUUUUAUUUAUUUUUGUUUGUUUAUUUAAUUUUAAACCAAUGGUAUUAAGGAUAUUUUACGCUGUAAUGAAUAUCAUUUUUGUGACUUUCUUCUUCUAGUGCCAUUUUUGAGACAAAAACUCAAAAGACAAUUGCCCAUUUAUAAAAGCCAAAUUUUGGUCGGUUUUAAUUCGGUAAACCCGGAAGCAAUAUAAUAAUAAUCGAUACCACUGAAUAGGGGUGGAUAUUUUACCCGAUAUCCGAAGCGGCACCCGAACCCUAUCCGAAAAAUCCGAACCGAAAUCCGAACCGAAGUAGCAAAAUACCCGAACGAGUAUUGAAUAAGGAGAGAUUGGAUACCCGAACCCCGAACGGAUAAUAUCCGAACCCGAAUGGAUAUCCGAAGAUAACCGAACAUAUGUAUGAUUAACCUUAUAUUUCUAGUUUAC